AAGAGAUGAUCUGCUCACUUUAUCUGAGCUCGAGACAAGACCAAAACCAUGAAAAUAUGGUCUUAUGUGUGUUCUUAAAUAUUAGUGAGUCUGGUCUUGAAUACAUGUUAGGAAAAUAUGAGCAGUUGUGAUAGUUUGGCACAAAUUGGACAUGGCCCCUUUAAGAAAUUGCCUCUUUGCAACGCCAUUGUCUACCCCUCAUUGCGCAUGUGUGUUCUACUUUCAUAGAAACUCUUAAUUCAAUUAAACCAAUUUGAGCAUCUGCAACAGUUGUAGUUGUUAAUUUUGACGACCUAAUGUAUCUUUUGAAGGAUGGAAAUGGAUUGAGGUGAACUUCAGAACAUACUUUGAACACCUUUUUAUAUGUAUUAAACAGAAACAACGUGUGCUGAUAAUGCAAAAGGACAAUUGAUUUAUCAGUUAAAGUCAGUCCAUCGUUGAUUCAGUCAUGUCAUCGUCCAGCUCCGUUCAGUUCUCUUCAAAUAGUGUCUGUGCAGUCAAGUCAACAAUGUUGCCAGAGAUUGUGUCCCCAACUACGCAAGCCAAAUGUGAUAGUGACAAGGAACCAAGACUCCAUCAGUGACAGAAAUGGAGAAAAAAAAACCUUGGGAGAAACCAGGCUCAGUCAGUUCUCUUCUGGUCAGACGAAACCUGCAUGGUGUGGUUUAAUUGCAGGCUGCAACACAGCGCACCACAGUUCCAUCAACUGUCCCAAGUGUCUAUGCUUGCACUUCUCCUGCAGUCCCUAUUAUCAGAAACACACACACCUGCUUUCUUUGCCCCACCAACCAAUUUAGGAGAGUCCUUGAAGCUCAAGAAUGGAAAGAACUGCUCUCUUCCCCUUUCAAGGCAGCCUGACGCAUUAGUCUACUUUCAAGGCACUCAAUUUGGGGUGCCACACUAUGCCCUUCUAUCUGCAUGUUUGAUUUGCUCUCUGCUGCCUCCAGAUCUCCAAAGUGAUAUCUUACUUUUCACAUUCACUGUCACAUGUAUUAGCC
Long non-coding RNA from Cyprinus carpio carpio, 998 nucleotides. Lineage: Eukaryota; Metazoa; Chordata; Actinopteri; Cypriniformes; Cyprinidae. The record is from Ensembl.